Molecule: ribosomal RNA, 459 nt
Filed under: uncultured bacterium
Lineage: Bacteria
Description: partial 16S ribosomal RNA
Rfam family: Bacterial small subunit ribosomal RNA
Source: RNAcentral
CCUACGGGUGGCAGCAGUGAGGAAUAUUGGUCAAUGGGCGGGAGCCUGAACCAGCCACGCCGCGUGAGGGAAGAUGGUACAGCGUAUCGUAAACCUCUUUUGUCAGGGAACAAAGGCGGGGACUAGUCCCCGGAUGCGGGUACCUGAAGAAAAAGCAUCGGCUAACUCCGUGCCAGCAGCCGCGGUACUACGGAGGAUACGAGCGUUAUCCGGAUUGAUGGGGGUAAAGGGGUGCGCAGGCGGCCGGUUCAGUCAGCGGUAAAAGCCCGGGGCUCAACCCCGGCGUGCCGUUGAAACUGGCGGGCUUGAGUUGGAUAGAGGUACGCGGAAUGCGCGGUGUAGCGGUGAAAUGCGUAGAUAUCGCGCAGAACCCCGAUUGCGAAGGCAGCGUACCGGCUCCACACUGACGCUGAGGCACGAAAGCGUGGGUAUCGAACAGGAUUAGAUACCCGAGUAGUC